RNAcentral lists this small RNA (119 nucleotides) under uncultured Selenomonas sp. RNAcentral describes it as "EGFOA RNA". It matches the Rfam family "EGFOA RNA". Lineage: Bacteria; Bacillati; Bacillota; Negativicutes; Selenomonadales; Selenomonadaceae. The record is from RNAcentral.
GCAGGUUUCAUCGCUGCGAGGGGAUACAGACCGUCCUGUGAUGCCCGUUGAUGGCGGGCAGUUGAGGCACGGAAUCCAAGCAUUUGCUGGCGUGGUAAAGGCAGACCUGGGCACGUUCA